Homo sapiens (human) is the source of this 3467-nucleotide long non-coding RNA. RefSeq annotates it as SMUG1 antisense RNA 1. Lineage: Eukaryota; Metazoa; Chordata; Mammalia; Primates; Hominidae. The transcript has 2 exons. The record is from RefSeq and is a predicted model, not a curated record.
CAACUGCACUCCAGCCUGGGCAACAGAGCGAGACUCCAUCUCAAAAAAAAAAAAAAAAGACUUGGCUCCUCACUUGUAUUGUGGGAAUCCCAGCCUAAAUUGGACAUGUGGAUGUUGAGCAAUAGAGGACAGACAAACAAAGGAAUCUCCAGACCCUGCAGGACCCAAGGCAGCAGCCCACGAGUGGAUCCUAAAGGAUUUUCAUCAGCUGCAAGUCUGGGGGUCCAAGCCUAGGAUAGACUGUGGGCCACGGCCCAGCUCAAAGCACCUUUCUCUGCAUCCAGGGAGCCCUUCAGCCCCUCACAUCAGAAGCACACUUUACACUUGGACAAAGCUUGUUGGCAUUUAUUAUCAUUGUAAGAACCUUGAAAAUUAUUGAACAGAUACCAGAUGGAGGAGGGGCCCCAAGAAAUGAACAAGUGCAACUCCCCUUGUUUUACAGAUGGGGAAACUGAGGCCUGAAAAAAGGACUGUCUGGUGGCAGAGCUGGGAACUUAGAACUUGACAUCUCAUGCACCACAGAGGGGCUGGCACCGUUUACAUCUACUAAAUCGUGGGCCAAAUAGCUUUCUCCCAAGUAGUUUUCUCACCUGCUAGAGAAGCUUUUUAAAAAUUCAAGAAUGCUGGAUGUUGUUAUUCCCUCUCUACAGACUGGAGAACGAUGACACUAGAAGUGUGUGGGAAUUACCUGAGGUCAAAAGCCAAGGGUGGAGCCUGCGGUCCCUCGGCCUCCUGAUUCCACAUUCAUCCUCUUCCCGUCUCAGGAUUUUACACCCAGAGAUGCCAAUGUCUGGUGACUCCACAGGUUGAACUCAGCCUGGCCUGAAACCAGCCCUCAACCCUUCGAAAGCCACAGAGCGCCCCCGCCCCCACCCCUGGCAGGGACCUUCCCAGCUCUGUUCCUCCCUUCUUUUUAUUAUUAUUAUUAUUAUUGAGACGGAGUUUCACUCUUGUUGCCCAGGCUGGAGUGCAAUGGCACGAUCUUGGCUCACCGCAACCUCUGCCUCCAGGGUUCAAGCGAUUCUCCUGCUGCCUCAGCCUCCUGAGUAGCUGGGAUUACAGGUGUGCACCACGCCUGGCCAAUUUUGUAUUUUCAGUAGAUACACCCACCCCCAGGCUCUGGGGACCAAGCCCUGCUCAAAUUGGGGGUGGUGCUGCCAGGGGCAGGGGCAGAGAGGGUGGGAGCCUCCCUUCCAAGUAUUUUAGGGUUUCUCCAUGUUGGUCAGGCUGGUCUCGAACUCCUGACCUCAGGUGAUCCACCCACCUCAGCCUCCCAAAGUGCUGGGAUUACAGGCAUGAGCCACCACGCCUGGCCCCUUGUUUUCCAACCUCCUGCCUAUUCUUCUCCUCCGUGAAGCCCUCCUGAUUUGAAACCCUUGGCUCCCCUUUUCUUGGUUUCUUCCUGCACUCAACAAGCCCCUCCAGCAAUUCCUAAAUCAGGUCCUGGUGUGACUCUCUUCUCUCUCAUCGGACUAGGGGAACAGGCCUGCGUCUCCUCCCUCUGAACUGCCAACUACUAACCCCCACCAUACCCAUUGUCUCCACACCACCUCCCACGCCCCCUGAAGACUCAGACCCAAAACAGAUCUGUAAAGCAUGUGCGUGUGACCAUGGGAACCCGGGAGUCCUGUCUCCUCUUCAUCCACAGAAAUUUCCACAGAAGCCCCACGGAUUCCCAUUUCAGGUAUGAGACUACCAUUGCCUCUGGGUUUCCCUGACCCUCCAGGGACAAUCUGGCUUGUCCUCCCCCAGACUUCUUCCCUCAGCACCUCAGGUGAGGGGAAACCUUCAUGUCCAUGCCCUGGGCACCCACCCCUCCCUCUACCACAUCAAAGCUCAGUGGGGAGCAAGGUCCAGUGAGGGCUUUGGAGUCUCCAGGAAGACCCCCCUUUCUGGGUCAGCUAGAAGAUCAGCUUAGAAGGCUUAGCUGCUCCUGAAGGGGCCUGUGUUGAGCUUCUUGUGCCAUGUUUGGGGUGGCUCUGUGGCACUGCCUGGGCUGAGUAGUUCUGGAUGUGACUAUAGGGAUUUGGGGUGUUACUGUAGAUUUUGGAUGCUGUCAUAGAGUUUGGAGUACAACUGUGGAGUUGCCCUGGAGAUUAUGGUGGGGUUUUCUGGGCUUCACACUAGGGUUGCUCUGGGGUUUUUAUAGGGUUACUCCAAAAGGCCACAGGCCUGUGCUACUACCUGGCCCAGAGGAAGGGAGGGAGAUAAGGCUGUAAAAGAAAGCUAGGGAGUUUGGAGGGGGAAGGACGGAGGUGACCCAGCUUCCUAGAGGAGGGGAUAAUUUGAAGUUGCAGAGCAGCAAGGCUCUGCUCUACCCCAUCUUGGUAUUCAAGUCCCAAACCCUGGCCAACAGCCUCCUUUGUUGGCAGUGAGGGUCUGGGAAUGAAGAAGGCUGCUUGCUCCCCUGGAGUGAUGACAGGCGAGAUGCUGUGCAAGCCCCGGGCUUUCUGUAGGGAGGAAGGACCAGGCCUGGUCCUGGGCAGCAGUAUGGUCCUCCUGGGUGUAUGUCCCCAACAAUAACUGAGCCCAGAGCUCCCACCUCAGUCUUGGAGCCCUGCCCUGGGUGUUGCUGGGGCAGGGCAGAGUCCGGAGGAAAACGACAUAGACCCUUCUCCCUGGGGACCCUGAACUUACAGGGAUGACAGACCCUAAUCUUGGACCCAAGUGAAUAGAGAACUCUUCUUGCAGCUUAAUCAUGAAAAACUCCCCAAGAGACAGAAGUGUAGAGCCAGGAUUGGGCAGAGUCUGAGAAGGGAGAGGGUUCCAAGUAGCAACAGCUGAGGGAAGGUGCAGAGGUGAGGAAGGAUGAGGGUAGUUUAGCCCCAGAGACUUGGCGUAGGGAAAGAAGAGUCAUUCACUCUUGUAUCCAUCAUUCACUUAGCAAACAAUCGAGAGAGCAGCUCUACAUCAGCAUGGUACCAGGAAACACACAGAUGAAUUACACAGGCAGGGACAGCAACUGGAGAGGCUUCCAGAAACUCAGUCCUCAUCCAGAAUACUAGCACCAGCUUCAGAGUUCUCUGGGUCCAUGCUAGCUGAGCUUCUACCUCCCCGCCUCUCCAAUCCAAAAGAAAUCCAUUCCCUAGCAUUUUACUUCUUCCUCAGAGUCCCACCCCUGCCUCAGUCCUUGCCCCAGACCCACUACUCAAAUAUGCCAUGCUCCUCCCCUCUGGGCAGACCCUGGAGCACCUUCUGGACCACAGCUACAGCAGGAGGGAUUGGGGCUAGACAUUUUGAGCACCUUCCCAGUGGCAGAGAGCAGUGGUGCUGAGGAGCUGAGCAGAGGGCCAAGGAAGGGAUGUGAGCUUGAGUCCAGGCCCGAGAUCCUCAGCCUGACUUUGCAUCUUGCCGGGAGAGGCAUCAUUCAUCCACCCAGGGGUGGAGAUGGGGCAGGGGGAGGGGAACGAAAAACACCCACAGCCCAUUAACCUACUUUUGCAACUUCAUUAAAACAGAGUCUUCGA